RNAcentral lists this ribosomal RNA (462 nucleotides) under uncultured bacterium. RNAcentral describes it as "partial 16S ribosomal RNA". It matches the Rfam family "Bacterial small subunit ribosomal RNA", at positions 28 to 507 of the family's 1533-position model. The record is from RNAcentral.
GACGAACGCUGGCGGCGUGCUUAACACAUGCAAGUCGAACGGAAAGGCCCUUCGGGGUCCUCGAGUGGCGAACGGGUGAGUAACACGUGGGUGAUCUGCCCUGCACUUUGGGAUAAGCCUGGGAAACUGGGUCUAAUACCGGAUAGGACCACGGCAUUCAUGUGCUGUGGUGGAAAGCUUUUGCGGUGUGGGAUGGGCCCGCGGCCUAUCAGCUUGUUGGUGGGGUAAUGGCCUACCAAGGCGACGACGGGUAGCCGGCCUGAGAGGGUGACCGGCCACACUGGGACUGAGAUAGGGCCCAGACUCGAACGGGAGGCAGCAGUGGGGAAUAUUGCACAAUGGGCGCAAGCCUGAUGCAGCGACGCCGCGUGAGGGAUGACGGCCUUCGGGUUGUAAACCUCUUUCGCCAGGGACGAAGCGCAAGUGACGGUACCUGGAGAUGAAGGACCGGCCAACUACGUG